Molecule: ribosomal RNA, 232 nt
Filed under: uncultured bacterium
Lineage: Bacteria
Description: partial 16S ribosomal RNA
Rfam family: Bacterial small subunit ribosomal RNA
Source: RNAcentral
CGGACGGGUGAGUAAUGUAUAGGAACUUGCCUAGUAGUGGGGGAUAACGUGUGGAAACGCACGCUAAUACCGCAUACGCUCUACGGAGGAAAGCGGGGGAUCUUCGGACCUCGUGCUACUAGAUGGGCCUUUAUCAGAUUAGCUAGUUGGUAAGGUAAUGGCUUACCAAGGCGACGAUCUGUAGCUGGUUUGAGAGAAUGAUCAGCCACACUGGGACUGAGACACGGCCCAG